Molecule: ribosomal RNA, 314 nt
Filed under: uncultured bacterium
Lineage: Bacteria
Description: partial 16S ribosomal RNA
Rfam family: Bacterial small subunit ribosomal RNA
Source: RNAcentral
GUAUAAGAGACAGCAGUAGCCGCGGUAAUACGGAGGGAGCUAGCGUUGUUCGGAAUUACUGGGCGUAAAGCGCGCGUAGGCGGUUACUCAAGUCAGAGGUGAAAGCCCGGGGCUCAACCCCGGAACUGCCUUUGAAACUAGGUGACUAGAAUCUUGGAGAGGUCAGUGGAAUUCCGAGUGUAGAGGUGAAAUUCGUAGAUAUUCGGAAGAACACCAGUGGCGAAGGCGACUGACUGGACAAGUAUUGACGCUGAGGUGCGAAAGCGUGGGGAGCAAACAGGAUUAGAUACCCGGGUAGUCCCUGUCUCUUAUAC